AAUAGAUACCCAGGUAGUCCUAGCCGUAAACGAUACUCGCUAGGUGUCGGCCACGGUGCGACCGUUGUCGGUGCCGUAGGGAAGCCGUGAAGCGAGCCACCUGGGAAGUACGGCCGCAAGGCUGAAACUUAAAGGGAAUUGGCGGGGGAGCACCACAACGGGUGGAGCUUGCGGUUUAAUUGGAUUCAACGCCGGAAAUCUUACCGGGACCGACAGCAAUAUGAAGGCCAGGCUGAAGACUUUGCCGGAUUAGCUGAGAGGUGGUGCAUGGCCGUCGUCAGUUCGUACUGUGAAGCAUCCUGUUAAGUCAGGCAACGAGCGAGACCCACGCCCACAGUUGCCAGCGUACUCUCUGGAGUGACGGGUACACUGUGGGGACCGCCGCUGCUAAAGCGGAGGAAGGAAUGGGCAACGGUAGGUCAGGUAUGCCCCGAAUAUCCCGGGCUACACGCGAGCUACAAUGGUUGGUACAAUGGGUAUCUACCCCGAAAGGGACGGGAAUCUCCUAAAACCAAUCUUAGUUCGGAUUGAGGGCUGCAACUCGCCCUCA
Molecule: ribosomal RNA, 550 nt
Filed under: uncultured bacterium
Lineage: Bacteria
Description: bacterial SSU rRNA
Rfam family: Archaeal small subunit ribosomal RNA
Source: RNAcentral